CAUGAAACCAGGAGAAGAUCCCAGCAUGCCGUCACCGUAUCUUUGCUCGUGGUCCUCCGGGUGACGUUCCUAUGCGAAGCGUGGUAUUCGGAAAUCGACAGAGGCUACACGCAGUACGGUGGCUGGCAGUGGCAAGACGCGUCGAGCCCAAAGUUCCUGCAACUCGCCACGGAAGUAGAGCUUGGUGCCAAAGACGGAAGAAAGUAUUACAGCGUGGCUAGCGAAGUUCUGCAAGCAUACGUCCAGGUAGUGAAUGGAUUAAACUACAAUAUCACCUACGUUGCGCGAAAAACAAAAUGUCCUACAUAUCAGCGCUUCGACGAGGAUAUUUGCACGGCUGACAUUCAGCACGAAAAAGGAAGAUUCUGCAACGCCCUCGUCUGGCAGGAUUAUUAUUCAGUGAUUGGCGAAACAUAUUUCUACAAGUGUGACAACUCCUGGUCCACUACGUACGAGUAGUUUCUCGCAUGUAUAUGUGGUCACACGUUAUCACUCGGCAAUAAAGUGUUUCAGCGAAAAGGUGUCCUAGUUAGAUACUGAUUGUAUCAGCUAAUAAUUUAGCCAUAGAGCAACCGCCGUGCAAAGAUUUAGAUGCGAAAUACGAGUAAAUGACUCGCAAAAAGCUCGCAAAAAUAGACGUUUUUGAUAGCGAAAUUGCAAGGGACCCCACUAUUACCGCUUGUCGAAAGUGACGCGCGACCCAGAACGCACUACUCCUCGGCAUGACGGCCCUGGCUAAUAAUUUCCAUGUGACCUGUGUAAACGUCGAUGUCUUUGCCACCUAACUGCAACAUUUGCUUAAGAGCUGUUAACAAA
Long non-coding RNA from Dermacentor silvarum, 816 nucleotides. RefSeq lists it as uncharacterized. The transcript has 3 exons. NCBI's taxonomy places the organism in Eukaryota, Metazoa, Arthropoda, Arachnida, Ixodida, Ixodidae. The record is from RefSeq and is a predicted model, not a curated record.